UAUAAAGAGAAGUCCUAUUGCUACAAGGUUUUGUUCCAGCGGCAAAGACAAGGUUGUUCGAGUUGAAGAUGCGGCAAAGUUAUGAUCUAGUUGAAGAAAGAGUUGAAGAUGGGUCGAACGCGAAUUUCACACAAUGUAGGAAUCUUACGUGUGAGCUUCUAAGUUUCAAGAGAAAAAGGAAGCAUAACAGAAGUAGGAUUUCUAGUUGAAAUAGGUUUUAAAUUCAAGUCCAAAUCUAUAAAUAGGACGAUAGUUUCGCUUGAGAAAAAAUGUGCACUUACAUAGAGAGACGAGCAAAAUACGAUCAAGUGUUUUAAGAGUUACUUGGGAGUGUUACCAAUUUGUGAGGAAAAAGUUUUAAAAUUGUAAUUAAGAGUUUUGAUUGCAAUAGAGUGUGUGUAGAGGAUUCGUCUAACAAAUUUGAGAAACUUGACGGACGAUGGAAGACUUAAACCUAGAGGUUUUUGUCUUGGGUAGGUAGGAAUUAGAGUUUAUAAUUUCUUAGGUUGGAAUUAGAGUUUACAAUUCCUUAGGUUACAUAGGCUUGUAAUCUUAUGUAGAAGUUUGGAGUUUAAUAAAGUGGAAUUAAAUCCUACAGAGGUAUAUGUCGUGGUUUUUACCCUUUACUAGUUUUCAGAAACGUGCGUUGCACGUUUAUUCCAAAUAAUAAUGCAUGCAUAUUAUAUUUUUCAUGCAACCAAUAAAUUUUUAAAGUUCAGAAAUUGAUAUUGUAGAACAUAAAAAAAAUGUUAUAAAGAAAUAAGAGAUUCUUACCAAAUCAAUAUAGUUAAUUAUUGAAUUAUCACAUAUAACUCUAGUUAUACACUAUAUGUUGUCCUAUAUUUAUGAUUUAUAUCCACCAAAAUUGAGAGAUAUGGUACGUGUGCCUAUUCCACCUUGGAGAUAUGGUGCGUUGACUCAAGUAAAGGAUGACUAUCCUAUGUAACUAUUUACAACGAUUGUGGGGUGUUUUUAUGUUAGAUAUGUACGGAGGAAUGGACAUGAGUGUGAAUUGUAGUGUGUGCGUAAAUCUUUGACACAAGAAGUCUCGGCAAACAUUGAAGAAACAUCCCUUUGUUGACAGUCGUACUUUGUUGCGCAACGUAUUACCAGGUAUAAACAGUGGUAAUGACAUUGUUGUGAUCUACACAAUUGAAAGGAUAUAUCUUUAUUACUUGAAUGGACAGAAGGUGGAGAUCUGCUAUAAGACUCUAGGACAAUUAAAUCCUAAGAGAAGAUACAUACCAGACACAAACAACCUCGACACGGUGCAUGAGCUGAAGUAGUACUUAUUCUGUUGCAAUCAAGUAGAAUUCUCAUGUUUAAUUUCAUCUUCUUUUGUUUUUAUAUGACUUGAAUUUCAGAUUAAGUUGUUUUUGUAAUAGACAUGGAUUGCCAAGGUAGUUUGAACGAUUUUUCCUUUACCCAUUUCUAAUUAUUUCUUGCUUGAUUGCGUGUUUUUACUUGUGAGUUCCUUUUUACUGCUACAUGAUCUGAAGAAGUAGCUAUUGUGUUGCAGAUCAUACCACACAUUCUAUCGUAAAAUUUAAACAGUAGUAGUAGAAAGGAACUCACAAGUAAAAACACCCAAUCAAGCAAGAAAUAAUUAAAAAUGAGUGAAGGAAAAAAUGUUCACACUACAUUGGUAAUCUAAAACAUGUCUAUUACAAAACAGCUUAAUCUGAAUUCCAAGUCAUAUAAUAACGAAAAAAGAUGAAAUUAAACAUGAGAAUUCUACUUGACAUUAACAGAACAACUACUACUUCACCUCAUGUGACGUAGCGAGGCUGUUUGUGUACGGUAUGAAUCUUCUCUUAGGAUUUAAUUGUCCUAGAGUCAUAAUAGUAGAUCUCCACCUUUUGUCCAUUCAGGUAAUAAAGAUGUAUUCUUUCAGGUGUGUAGAUCACCACAAUGUCAUCACCACUGUUUAUACACGGCAAUGCGUCGCACAAAAUAGUACAAUUGUCAACAAAGGGUUUCUCCAAUGUUUGCCGAGACUUCUUGUGUUCAAGAUAUAUGUACACACUAUGAUUCAGACUCAUGUCCAUUGCUCCGUACAUAUCUAACAUAAAAACAUCCCUGCAAUCGUUGUAAACAGUUACAUAGGAUAACUAAUCCUUUACCUGAGUCAACGCACCUUGUCUCCCAGGUGGAAUAGGAACAUGUACAACUACUGCAACCUCAUUUUUUGCAUCAAAUGCUAGCACACCAUGUUUUACUAAUACCAAGAAAAACACAUUUAUCACCUCUAUUAUCAAGCUUCUUUCUUUUUGCUUUUGAAAUAUGUGCAUAAGCAAUGUAUCCUAAAUUUUUGAAGUGGUCUACUGUUGAUUUCCUUCUGCUCCAAACUUCCAUGGGUAUUACAUCUCGAAGACAAAAAGUGGAACUUCUGUUCAAGAUAAGAAUGCUCCUGUUAGGUACAUAUGAAUAUGUAUAUUUUAUAGACUGACAAUCCGGUGAAUUAUGGAGCAAGCUGAGCAAAUGUGAAUUGAGUCGCCAAAGUUUACUGGAAGAGGAAUUAGGAGGCUGACUUAAAGUAGGAAAACUGCAACCUAAUGACAACAAAAGAAGCAUAAGAUUAUAGUUAUUAUAAUUCAUUCAGAGAAAGAAAAACUAUUUCCUACUUGGUUAAGGAUAUAGUUUGAGGCAGUCAAGACAAAGAAGGAAAGUUAUUUUCUACUUGUUUAAGUAAAUAGUUUGAGGUGGCAUAGUUUAUAAGGAAAAUCAUAUAUGAAGUUUCCUUUCAAUGCAUAGUAUAAAGAGAAGUCCUAAUGCUACAAGGUUUUGUUCCAGUGGCAAAGACAAGGUUGUUCGAGUUGAAGAUGCGGCAAAGUUAUGUUCUAGUUGAAGAAAGAGUUUAAGAUGGGUCGAACGCGAAUUUCACACAAUAUAGGAAUCUUACGUGUGAGCUUCUAAGUUUCAAGAGAAAAAGGAAGCAUAACAGAAGUAGGAUUUCUAGUUGAAAUAGAUUUUAAAUUCAAGUCCAAAUCUAUAAAUAGGGUGAUAGUUUCGCUUGAGAAAAAAUGUGCACUUACAUAGAGAGACGAUCAAAACACGAUCAAGAGUUUUGAGAGUUACUUGGGAGUGUUACCAAUUUGUGAGGAAAAAUUUUUAAAAUUGUAAUUAAGAGUUUUGAUUGCAAUAGUGUGUGUGUGUGUGUAGGAUUCGUCUAACAAAUUUGAGAAACUUGACGGACGAUGGAAGACUUAAACCUAGAGGUUUUUGUCUUGGGUAGGUAGGAAUUAGAGUUUAUAAUUUCUUAGGUUGGAAUUAGAGUUUACAAUUCCUUAGGUUACAUAGGCUUGUAAUCUUAUGUAGAAGUUUGGAGUUUAAUAAAGUGGAAUUAAAUCCUACAGAUGUAUAUGUCGUGGUUUUUACCCUUUACUAGUUUUCAGAAACGUGCGUUGCACGUUUAUUCCAAAUAAUAAUGCAUGCAUAUUAUAUUUUUCAUGCAACCAAUAAAUUUUUAAAGUUCAGAAAUUGAUAUUGUAGAACAUAAAAAAAUGUUAUAAAGAAAUAAGAGAUUCUUACUAAAUCAAUAUAGUUAAUUAUUGAAUUAUCACAUAUAAUUCUAGUCAUACACUAUAUCUUGUCCUAUAUUUAUGAUUUAUAUCCACCAAAAUUGAGAGAUAUGGUACGCGUGCCUAUUCCACCUUGGAGAUAUGGUGCGUUGACUCAAGUAAAGGAUGACUAUCCUAUGUAACUAUUUACAACGAUUGUGGGGUGUUUUUAUGUUAGAUAUGUACGGAGGAAUGGACAUGAGUGUGAAUUGUAGUGUGUGCGUAAAUCUUUGACACAAGAAGUCUCGGCAAACAUUGGAGAAACAUCCCUUUGUUGACAGUCGUACUGUGUUGCGCAACGUAUUACCGUGUAUAAACAGUGGUAAUGACAUUGUUGUGAUCUACACAAUUGAAAGGAUAUAUCUUUAUUACUUGAAUGGACAGAAUGUGGAGAUCUGCUAUUAAGACUCUAGGACAAUUAAAUCCUAAGAGAAGAUACAUACCGUACACAAACAACCUCGAUACGGUACAUGAGCUGAAGUAGUACUUAUUCUGUUGCAAUCAAUUAGAAUUCUCAUGUUUAAUUUCAUCUUCUUUUGUUUAUAUAUGACUUGAAUUUCUGAUUAAGUUGUUUUUGUAAUAGACAUGGAUUGCCAAGGUAGUUUGAACGAUUUUUCCUUUACCCAUUUCUAAUUAUUUCUUGCUUGAUUGCGUGUUUUUACUUGUGAGUUCCUUUUUACUGCUACAUGAUCUGAAGAAGUAGCUAUUGUGUUGCAGAUCAUACCACACAUUCUAUCGUCAAAUUUAAACAGUAGUAGUAGAAAGGAACUCACAAGUAAAAACACCCAAUCAAGCAAGAAAUAAUUAAAAAUGAGUGAAGGAAAAAAUGUUCACACUACAUUGGCAAUCAAAAACAUGUCUAUUACAAAGCAGCUUAAUCUUAAAUCCAAGUCAUGUAAUAACAAAAAAAAGAUGAAAUUAAACAUGAGAAUUCUACUUGAUAUUAACAGAACAACUACUACUUCAACUCAUGUAACGUAGCGAGGCUGUUUGUGUACGGUAUGAAUCUUCUCUUAGGAUUUAAUUGUCCUAGAGUCAUAAUAGUAGAUCUCCACCUUUUGUCCAUUCAGGUAAUAAAGAUAUAUCCUUUAAGUUGUGUAGAUCUUCACAAUGUCAUCACCACUGUUUAUAGACGGUAAUACGUUGCACAACACAAUACCAUUGUCAACAAAGGGUUUCUCCAAUGUUUGCCGAGACUUCUUGUGUUCAAGAUAUAUGUACACACUACGAUUCAGACUCAUGUCCAUUGCUCCAUACAUAUCUAAAAUAAAAACAUCCGUGCAAUCAUUGUAAACAGUUACAUAGGAUAGCUUAUCCUUUACCUGAGUCAACGCACCAUAUCUCCCAGGUGGAAUAGGCACACGUACAACUGGUGCAACCUCAUUUUUUGCAUCAAAUGCUAGCACACCAUGUUUUACUAAUACCAAGAAAAACACAUUUAUCACCUCUAUUAUCAAGCUUCUUUCUUUUUGCUUUUGAAAUAUGUGCAUAAGCAAUGUAUCCAAAAAUUUUGAAGUGGUCUACUGUCGGUUUCCUUCUGCUCCAAACUUCCAUGGGUAUUACAUCUCGAAGACAAAAAGUGGAACUUCUGUUCAAGAUAAGAAUGCUCCCGUUAGGUACAUAUGAAUAUGUAUAUUUUAAAGACUGACAAUCCGGUGAAUUAUGGAGCAAGCUGAGCAAAUGUGAAUUGAGUCGCCAAAGUUUACUGGAAGAGGAAUUAGGAGGCUGACUUAAAGUAGGAAAACUGCAACCUAAUGACAACAAAAGAAGCAUAAGAUUAUAGUUAUUAUAAUUCAUUCAGAGAAAGAAAAACUAUUUCCUACUUUGUUAAGGAUAUAGUUUGAGGCAGUCAAGACAAAGAAGGAAAGUUAUUUUCUACUUGUUUAAGUAAAUAGUUUGAGGUGGCAUAGUUUAUAAGGAAAAUCAUAUAUGAAGUUUCCUUUCAAUGCAUAGUAUAAAGAGAAGUCCUAAUGCUACAAGGUUUUGUUCCAGCGGCAAAGACAAGGUUGUUCGAGUUGAAGAUGCGGCAAAGUUAUGUUCUAGUUGAAGAAAGAGUUGAAGAUGGGUCGAACGCGAAUUUCACACAAUGUAGGAAUCUUACGUGUGAGCUUCUAAGUUUCAAGAGAAAAAGGAAGCAUAACAGAAGUAGGAUUUCUAGUUGAAAUAGGUUUUAAGUUCAAGUCCAAAUCUAUAAAUAGGGCGAUAGUUUCGCUUGAGAAAAAAUGUGCACUUACAUAGAGAGACGAUCAAAACACGAUCAAGAGUUUUGAGAGUUACUUGGGAGUGUUAACAAUUUGUGUGGAAAAAGUUUUAAAAUUGCAAUUAAGAGUUUUGAUUGCAAUCGAGUGUGUGUGUAGGAUUCGUCUAACAAAUUUGAGAAACUUGACGGAUGAUGGAAGACUUAAACCUAGAGGUUUUUGUCUUGGGUAGGUAGGAAUUAGAGUUUAUAAUUUCUUAGCUUGGAAUUAGAGUUUAUAAUUCCUUAGGUUACAUAGGAUUGUAAUCUUAUGUAGAAGUUCAGAGUUUAAUAAAGUGGAAUUAAAUCCUACAGAGGUAUAGGUCGUGGUUUUUACCCUUUAGUAGUUUUCAGAAACGUGUGUUGCACGUUUAUUCCAAAUAAUAAUGUAUGCAUAUCAUAUUUUUCUCGCAAUCAACAAAUUUUAAAAGUUUAGAAAUUGAUAUUGCAGAACAUAAAAAAUGUUCUAAAGAAAUAAGAGAAUCUUACCAAAUAUAGUUAAUCAUUGAAUUAUCACAUAUAAUUAUAGUUAUACACUAUAUCUUGUCCUAUAUUUAUGAUUUAUAUGAUGCCACUAAAACUGAAAGAAGGAAAAAUUAAACAAACUCAACUAAAUAUUUUUAAAACACAUAUGAAGAUUGAAUCAAAUAAAAGAAAAGAUUUUGAAAUUAAUAAUUGAAUACUACGAUUUCUUAUGAUUUAUAAGAUAUUACCGAUUGCAUAAUUUAUUGUUUGCAGACCAAUUUUUCCCUUCAUUCAAUAUGAGAGAAUGGAAGAUGAAGUUUUAAAAUUUAAUUUGUAGAAAUUAAAUGAGAAGUGUUGAUAUUUGAUCUUUCAUCUUUGUUAAUGUUUUUCUCAUUUUAUUGCAAUUAAAAGUCUAUUCAAUUUUUUACUUUUAACAUCUUUUCACUUUUAGUAUUUAGUAUAAUAUAUAUGAUAUUGUUUACUAUUUAAUUAGUUAGAUAUUUAAUUUAGCAUAGAGGUAAAAUGAUAAUCCAAGUUUACACUUAAAAGCAUAAUGAAACUUAGCAUACCUAAUUUGUACAAGUCACUUAAAAGCAUAAUGAAACUUAGCAUACCUAAUUUGCACAAGUCAAACAAGAUGAAAUAAAAAAUUUAACAUGAAAAGCUAUACUACAUAGUCCUUAAAGAGAAGAGUAUCAACAACAACUUGCUUCACUUAUUGAAUUUUUAAUCUUAUUUAUUAAUUAU
This 7008-nucleotide long non-coding RNA is filed under the name Solanum lycopersicum (tomato). Its description in RNAcentral is "long non-coding RNA (SLYC_LNC000068)". The record is from RNAcentral. Lineage: Eukaryota; Viridiplantae; Streptophyta; Magnoliopsida; Solanales; Solanaceae.